RNAcentral lists this ribosomal RNA (482 nucleotides) under uncultured Acidobacteriota bacterium. Its description in RNAcentral is "bacterial SSU rRNA". It matches the Rfam family "Bacterial small subunit ribosomal RNA", at positions 8 to 522 of the family's 1533-position model. Lineage: Bacteria; Pseudomonadati; Acidobacteriota. The record is from RNAcentral.
AGAGUUUGAUCAUGGCUCAGAAUCAACGCUGGCGGCGUGCCUAACACAUGCAAGUCGCACGAGAAAGUGGAGCAAUCCAUGAGUAAAGUGGCGCACGGGUGAGUAACACGUGAAUGAUCUACCUCCGAGUGGGGAAUAACUGAGAGAAAUCUUAGCUAAUACCGCAUAACACUUACGAGUCAAAGCAGCAAUGUGCUUGGAGAGGAGUUCGCGGCAGAUUAGUUAGUUGGCGGGGUAAUGGCCCACCAAGACGAUGAUCUGUAUCCGGCCUGAGAGGGCGCACGGACACACUGGAGCUGAAACACGGUCCAGACUCCUACGGGAGGCAGCAGUGGGGAAUUUUGCGCAAUGGGGGAAACCCUGACGCAGCAACGCCGCGUGGAGGAUGAAGUAUCUUGGUACGUAAACUCCUUUCGAUGGGGAAGAUUAUGACGGUACCCAUAGAAGAAGCCCCGGCUAACUUCGUGCCAGCAGCCGCGGUA